This 529-nucleotide ribosomal RNA is filed under the name uncultured bacterium. RNAcentral describes it as "bacterial SSU rRNA". It matches the Rfam family "Bacterial small subunit ribosomal RNA", at positions 29 to 534 of the family's 1533-position model. The record is from RNAcentral.
AAUGAACGCUGGCGGCGUGCUUAACACAUGCAAGUCGAGCGCAAAGGCGACUUCGGUCGCCCGAGAGCGGCGCACGGGUGAGUAACACGUGGAUAACCUGCCUGAGCAUGGGGAAUAACUUGGGGAAACCCUAAGCUAAUACCGCAUACGUCCACCGGGUUACGGUCCGGUGAAGAAAGACCGCCUCUUCUUGAAAGCGGUCGUGCUCAGAGGGGUCCGCGGCUGAUUAGCUAGUUGGUGAGGUAAUGGCUCACCAAGGCGACGAUCAGUAGCCGGCCUGAGAGGGUGAUCGGCCACACUGGAACUGAGACACGGUCCAGACUCCUACGGGAGGCAGCAGUGGGGAAUAUUGGACAAUGGGCGAAAGCCUGAUCCAGCAACGCCGCGUGGAGGAUGAAGGCCUCGGGUUGUAAACUCCUGUCAGGUGGAACGAAAAAUCGCCUGCCAAAGCAAGCAGGUCUUAUGACGGUACCACCAGAGGAAGCCCCUGGCUAACUCUGUGCCAGCAGCCGCGGUAAUACAGAGGGGG